GGGAUGACUAUCCAGUGAGGAUAAUGUACAGGAAAACACAAGCCAUUUUUAUUCUCCUUCAUCCCAGUUAACUGGAGGUACUACUGAUAAAGCACUUGUUUGCACUAUGACCUCCUGGAGUGAUGUGCAGCUUGGUUCCUCUCUCGCUUUUUGUUUCUGUUUAAUAAUGCAAUUAUGAGUGUGAGAUCUUCAGUGUGUUUGCAUAAGCUAACUUAAAAUGAAUUUAAGUACAGUUUUCUGCAAUAUUUCUAUCAGAAUAAAUUACUUAAAAAUAUAGAUUGUGUGGGGAUAAUUUGUUUCCAUAUUUACAUUGUUAUCAUUACCUUUGAACGUGCAUUGUAUCAUUAAUUUUUAAAUGUUCUAAUUUGGGUUUGGAUGGUUUUUUUUUUUCUUUCUUUCUCUUUCUAAAAUAGUCGGCAAUGUUUUUGUUGGUACGGCAGGCAUUUUUGUUGGUACGGCAGGCUUCUGUCUGGAUAAAACUCAGUUGCUCUUCUCUGUCUUAGUACGAGGAUAUGCCCCUGGCAUGCAGACAGAUGGGGCCUCAGAGAAUAGAGGUCAAGGGUAUAAGAUUCCCAACCAUAUCUCCCCACUCUGAGAUGUUAGGAUAUAACCAGUCCCUAAAGAGGCCCUCUUUGCUAAUACAGUAUUUCAUAGAUUCUGAAACAUGACACUUUUUCACAUCUUUCUGAAAACUAUCUUCCAGCCUGUGGUGUCUUAAAAUGGAAGAAAUACAGAAAUACCGGUGUUGAGUCUUGGGUAAGUCAUUGGCUGCAUGGUUAAGUCAUGGUGAGUGAGAAAUACCUUCUUGUAAGCCAGUAAACCAAAGAAAGAAAUAAGCCAGGUAUAGUCAUUAUAGACAAACUGGCCAGUAAACAUGAAGAAAAGCUACCUUAAAAAGAACCCCCAGAUGGUUCCAUGUGGCACAGCAGGUUUCAGAUCUGGCGGCGUCACUGCAGUGGCUCAGGUCACCACUGUGUCCCGGGAUUGAUCCCCGACCCAGGAACUUCCACGUGCUGUGGGUACAGCCAAAAAGAACCCCCAUUUAUUUUCUUGCCUUUUUUUUUUUGUCUUUUUUUUUUUUUUUUUUUUUUUUUUUUUUUUGUCUUUUUAGGGCCGCACCCACGGCAUAUGGAGUUUCCCAUGCUAAGGGUCAAAUCAGAGCUACAGCUGCCAGCCUUCACCACAGCCACAGUAACACAGGAUCCAAGCUGUGUCUGCUCACAGCAACACUGGAUCCUUAACCCACUUAGUGAGGCUGGGGAUCGAACCCAUGUCCUCAUGAAUACUAGUCGGGUUCGUUACCACUGAGCCAGAGCCCCCGUUUGUUCUCAUUGAUUAUUAAGACCAGUAUUUCACCCAUGUGGUGCUUGUUUUAAAUGACUUCUGAACACCACCCCAAAUUGACUAAAUCAGAAUAUGAGAAUAUUGAAUUCAAUUUGGACUAAUUUGCCCACAGCCCAGGCUCAACUAAAAGCCUGAAUUUGCUUUGAUCUUGCCUGUUGUAGCCAAGUCGUUCGUCUUGUUUAGGUUCAGACACUGUUAGCAUCUAUAGUAAACUGUAUGGAAGAAAGCCAAGCUGCUGUUUUUACAGCCAGAAGCUAUUCUUAGAUUUUAAUAUGGAAACAGGAGCCUUUUCCGUCAGAUGUGGAAGAAAAACCUAGAGAUUCUCUGUGAGUUUCUUACCUCCUAAGCCGUUAACAGUGAAGUACAAUCAGUGGGCAAACCUCUGCUGAGACCUAAGUUCUGCAGUAGCCAUGUUUUUUGACCUUAGGCAAAGCUCAGUCACGUUUUAACAAAUCUUAACAACUACACAAACAUAGGAUUAGGAUUUCAAUGUUGAAAGAGAUAAAUGACUGGACCUUGUUAUGUGGUCAUAUCUCCCUGGGCCUUUGGGAUAGUCGGCCUACAAAAAAGUCCAGAUUAUGGCCUUGUGCACUUUGAAUUGAGACCUUUGGUUCUGGCCUAACUUACUGUGACACAGCUAAUUAUGCUGUAUGUCUCAUUUCAAAUCAAGAUAAUUCACUGCACUGGGGCAAUGUAAAUUUUAUCAUGAUUCCUUAGUUUUACUAAAUUAAAACUGCCUCCCCUCCUAAAGGAAGGCUCAGGUCUGGCCUUAUGUUUUUCCUCCCUUAAGAAGAGACUUGUAUUGAAGUUCCCAUUGUGGCUUAGUGGGUUAAGAACCCAGCACAGUGUCGUGAGGUUGUGGGUUUGAUUCGUGGCCUCACUUAGUGGGUUAAGGAUGCAUCAUUGCUGCAAGCUGCGUUUUAGGUCACAGAUGCAGCUCAGAUCUGGCAUUGCUGUGGCUGUGGUGUAGACUGGCAACUACAGAUCCGAUCUGAUCCCUAGCCUGGGAUCUUUGUAUGCCACAGGUGUGGCCCUAAAAAAGCCAAAAAAAAAGACUUGUAGUCUGUGUUCUAUUUUCCCAUUGGUUAGAAUCAUCCAUGGAUGCCCUUUGUUCUGUGAGCUUCCUGCCGAAAGAGGCCUCUGCACUAAAGGUAUUUGAUAGGGCUUAUGUCUGAUGGUGACUUUGUUACCAGGCUAAACCCGAGUCCAUUCACCUGCACCCAGUAAAGCCAAUCUACUGUUAGCAUCUAUUGCAGGACACCAAGCAAGGAGAACAGGCAACUCCUGCUCAAAAGACCCAAACUCCCGGAUGGCUUUCAGGGAAAGAGGUGCAUGGUUCAUGAUCUGCUUGUGCCCAGUUCUCAGAUUGGCUGGCAUCAAGGUGAAGUUUCAAGCAUCAUCAACCUUCUGGUUUCAACUAGUCUCUGUUAUUAUGGUCAGUAGUUUUCAUCUGGCGGUGGUUUGCUUCCUGUAAAAUUAGCUUAGGACUGUGUUUCAGGCCUUUAUAUGUUUUAGGGAACUGGGAGUUUAAUGAUUCGCUGUGUGGCAGGUUUAUAGUCUAAACUGUUUAGCAGUUCCCUGGCCCAGCAGCUAUUCUUUGCUUCCACAUCUGCACAUUUCCUAUCACUGUUUCUUGCAUCAGCCAUUUGAGACUCAAGCAAAGAGCCUUUUACCUCAAAGGACAGGGACACAGGGGCUUGUACAUGGUUUCAACUUGACACUGCUCUCUGUUGCAUUUCAAGCUUAUUUUACCUACUCCCUCGGUCCGACCUCAAAAGAGGGAAAGGGAACAUAUCAAAUGAUGUGUGUCUCAUAACCUAGUGAGCGGUGUAUUUUGAAGCAGUGAGGACUUCUUAUGUAACACCCACAGCAGUUUAGAAACCAUCCAUAAAUACUUGUUUCCAGUGGAGCUAAUGAGCGUAUCAGCCUAAUUUAACUUGUAGGAGUGAGACCUCUCCAAUAAUGUCUAUCCCAAAUCGUCUUUCUUCUUUAUACUUCUAGUUUGUUUGUGUAUCUCUCUUUGGGCUAUCUACUUAAUCGUUCACAAUGGAAUUGUCUCCAUAUUUAUUUAGAUCAGUGGUUCUCAACCUUGGCUGCCAUUGAGAAUCAUCCAGGGAACUUUUAAAAAUUGGAAAGCCUGGGCCGCACACCAGACCCGUUACAUAAGCACUGGGGGGGUGGGGUGGGGGGAACAGUAGGAUCCAGGCAUUAGUAAUUUCUCCAGAGUCCCUCAGAUGACAUGAAUGUGUAGCCAGGUUAAAAACCACUAUUAUUUUUUCUCUUUUUUCCUUUUUUUUUUAGGGCUCCAUCUACAGCAUAUGGAAGUUUCUGGGCUAGAGAUCAAAUGGGAGCUGCAGCUGCAGGCCUAUCCCACAGCCACAGCAACACCGCAGCUUGCAGCCGUGCUAGAUCCUUAACCCACUGAGCAAGGCCGGGGGUCAGACCCGCAUCCUCAAGGAAACUAGUCAGGUUCUUAAGCUGAGUCACAACGGGAACUCCAAAAACCAGUUUUUAGAUGGUUGGUUUCCAAACAUUCCAAGCGCUUUAGGACAUUUGCUUUCAAACACCAGAGCAUAUCAGAAUCCCCAGGAGGGCUUGUUAAGAUUUAGAUUGCUGGUCCCACCUCCCCGCCAGAGUUCCUGAUUAAGCAGGUCGGGGGUGGGCCCUAAAAAUGUUCGUUUUUAAUGAGGUCCCAGGUGAUGCUGAUGGUGCUGGUUUUCGGGCCGCACUUUGAGAACCAUGGGAAAUAGAAACUGCGUUAGAAAAGAAAGACUGGAGGGCCCAUCCUCAGUGCCCGCCAAGCUGUGUGUGUGCAGCUUCAUCCCAGUGCAGGUGAUGGAUGGGGAGCACGAGCCUAUGUGCUGGCUGGUAGGAGGGCACAAAAGGAGAAGACAGCACCCCAGAACCCCGAGGAAGCCUCGGGAUGGAAGGAGGCAGGGCCUGGGGCUAGGCAGCGGCAAGGUUGCCAGCAGCUGUGGAGUGGCGGAGAGGCGGGGGCUGGGGAGCCUUCACCCUUAUUUGAUCUCUGGCCCAGCUCCCAUCGCCCCCUGCAGCUCAGUGCUGACCUCUGCAAGACUGGAGCAAUAGCAAUGUUUGGACUGCUUGUAUUUGUUCAAAAAGCAGUCCUUUCAGAACAUCCGUGAUCCCCUUUUCAUCCCUCUAACAACAACAAAAUAUUUUGAAGCGGCAGGAAGAAAAUCAUUCCGGAUUUGAGAGCCUUCAGCAGGGUCAUGUGCUCCAAGGCAUAGCCUCCACCACUCCCUGUAAUCUUGUCACCGAUUUUUCUCCACUCCUUUCUUUACCAGCUUAGGUGUCCUGAUGUGACACCUAGAACCAAGGGUCCCAUUUUAUGACCCAAGACGGAAGCUGUCCCGGAAGCAAAACGGUCUCAAACAGCAGAGGGAAAGAUGGAAAGAACCUAGGACUUCAAUGAUUGUCUCGUGCUGCUGAAACAAACCGACUCUGGGAGAGUCCAGCUGCUGGACGUCUUCCAUGAAAUGCAGCUUCUACAGGUCAUAAAGGUGUAAAGAUGGGGCACGCUGGCAGGGAUGGAUCCCUGGCCGGAGAGUCCGAAGCCCCUUCCACCCCUGCAGCUCUUCUCCAAAGGGAACACUCUGUUCCUUUCCUUGGGUGAACCAGACUCAGGCCCCUGCUGGUUCUUGAGUCAGCGGGGAGGCUGACCCAGCAGCCGCCUUCUGGCCAGGUCAGUUCAGUGUCUGGGCUCUCUCUGGGCCCUGUCGUCCUUUGCUGAAAGCACCAGCUUCUUCAGCGAUGCUGAAUUCUCAUGAAAUGUUAGAGCCUCGUUGCUUUUGUUGCUUUUGUUUGCCUCAUUGCUUUUGUUUUGAUGUGUCUUAAAAUAAUUAGGCUUUUAUUCUCACAUUAUUUCCAUUCACCCCUCCCGGCUAAUGAGGCAUCUAACUCACCACACCAGGGCAGGGCGUGCUACUAUGGUAUCCAGUAAACAGUCGCUAAACAAAGCCAAAAGGCCUGCUCAGAUCAAAUUCCCUUUUGUACUUGCUCUUACAUCUGUCCUGAGCUAGGCAGUUGCUGUCAAAAAAAUGAAAUCCACUGCACCUCUAUGAGGAGUUUAAGAAAAGCAGCCGUUUGGACUUUUUCCAACAACUUCCUUGCAACAGCUUCAUUAUCCAUUUGCUAGUUAGCAAGUUGGUCUAGGAAGAAGUCUUCUUUUACUCUUGGAAAGUAUGCACUUGGAAAUGCCCAGUAAAAACCAGUAUGUGCUGAACGCCUGCUCCCUGCCAGAUUCCGAGGGAUGGGACAGCAUCGCACAGUCAGGCUGGGAACAUGGGGGCCGAGGAGAACCAACCAAGAGGCCUGGUGAGCGAUCGGCUGCCUGAGACCAGCAGAGCAUGUCACCCAGCAGUUGAGGUCAGGCAGGGUCCCUGGGAGGAAGGGACAUACUUCCCUGUCUGAGGGCGACUACCUCCCUGUCACCCAGUCCUUGCACGUGGAGCCCAAACCCACUCUAGGCAAAGGUGGCUAAGCAGCUGGUCUCCUGUCCAGCCCCCUGCGUUUUCCUUCAGACACUGCUGUCAAUUCCCAGUGUAUUUCACAACUUAGCAGUUCGAUGCCUUGGUUAUACUCUUAAUUCCUUUUCUACACAGAAUCUCAAUACUCCUUAUAAUAAUAACCCUGGGAGGAAGGAAUACUUCUUCCCAAGUAACAACAGGAAAAGUCAGAGAGGUUAAGGAAUUUGCCUAAGUCACCCAGCAAGGGGUGAAGCCAGGGUUCAGACUCUCAUGGGUCCCGUCCUCCAUCUGAUGGACCCUGGCCUUCAGAGCUGUAAUUUGCAAUUUUGGCGCCCAGGGCUAAUAGCACAAAAGCUCAGCAAAUUAUAUUGUGAUUUAUUAUGUGCCUCAAAGAACAACCAGCAGCUUCCUGUUUUAGCUGUUCUUGCUUAGGACAGUUUCUAACUGAAGAAAUUCAUGUGCUGUCAACAUGUAAAUGUCAUCCUUUUGUUUGUUUCAACAUCUGUGCCAGGCCAGAGCCUCCCUAUGGGCCUCACAUGGACUGUGCUGAGUCUGAUCCCUGGAGUUCUGCAACCUCACUGCAAACACAAAACACAGAAGAGCUAGCACAGACCAUCCCAAGUUGCUUAAAUGUCCCAUGUCCAUGCUAGACCAGAAAAGUUCUGUGUGAUCAGAAGGAGAAGUGCCCUGUUGUGGCCUAAAGAGGUUGGGGAGGCUGAAAGGAGGCGACCAGAUUGAUGUAUGGACAGGAUUUAGGGCCGGAGGGGAAUUGAAAGCGAGAAAUGGAAGCAUACAAUUGAGGCUGGGACGGGAGAGGACAUUGACAAGAGGCAGGAUGAAAAGUUG
Molecule: long non-coding RNA, 6677 nt
Filed under: Sus scrofa (pig)
Lineage: Eukaryota; Metazoa; Chordata; Mammalia; Artiodactyla; Suidae
Description: lncRNA (ENSSSCG00055023420.1)
Source: RNAcentral